CUCGAAUCUCCGGGCAAGUUAAGUUUGUCUCCGAGGUUCUGAACUGCAGGGAGACGGCGGGUCGCUAGCGUACGAGGAUCCGUGAAGGCCUGCAGUUGGCAGAAUGAAUCUGUGGAGAUGAUUUACACGAAUGAUUUCACUGGGCCUAAGACCAGUCAGUACUACUCCGAAGGAGGAAUUAAGAAGAUGUGAUCCAAAAGGGGCUCUGCUUGAGCGCCGCUUCCCCUUCCACCCUCUCCAUCGCCCACCUCCACCAGGAAAAUUAUUCUUACCGAAGCUCAUUUUCCAAGGAACAAAUAUUCCAGCAAGAUCCUGAUUUCUGCCAGCUUUCUCUUCUAACUUCCCCUUCCAGAGUUUCCUGCAUUAAACCCUGUAGAAAGCAGAUUGCAAAGGAGAGGCCUACAGAUCUGGGUUUAUCAUUGUUUGGCCUGCAAAUGUUAGCCAGCACAGUUCUUUUUAACAUUGAAUUACUUAAAAACACUUGAUGUAGGAGAUUUUUGCCGCCACCCGCACCCCCACCCACCAACAAGUCUAGAUUUCUGGUGUCUCUUGAAAAUGGUUAGAUCUGGUUACACUGGAUGUGUACUGGUAUAUGGCCACCAUCUGCUGGAACCCAGCACCUGUUAUCUGCAUUUGGACAUGCAUUUUCAGGUUUACCAACGUCUCUGUCACUCUUCUGGGGUUCCAUUUUGCCACUUUAUACACAUUGUCUUCUUGACCUUUGUAAGGAUUUGCCAUCUCAGAACUUUCUCCGGCACUCAAAUUACUGAUCUACUGACUGAUCCUCUUAAUCAUAGAACAUGAGUUAAAAAGAAACAUGUCAUCUCUUGGCUAUAGCAGAAGUUGAGGAAAAGGAUCCAAUGUAAAGAAUAUCAUGAUAUGCAGUUGCCUGGGUGAUAGUACAUAAGGGAUGGAUUGCAAAGUGGCCUGAGGAAUCUUUUGCUGGUUGUGGAAAUGAUAUGUAUCUUGAUUGUGCUAAUACUUUCAUGGGUGUACAUAACUGUCAAAAUGCAAUAAACUGUACAGUUUUAUUAUGCAGUUAA
Long non-coding RNA from Bos taurus (domestic cattle), 1043 nucleotides. The record is from Ensembl. Lineage: Eukaryota; Metazoa; Chordata; Mammalia; Artiodactyla; Bovidae.